The sequence is a transfer RNA, 72 nucleotides long. It matches the Rfam family "tRNA". From Rfam's summary of the family: Transfer RNA (tRNA) molecules are approximately 80 nucleotides in length. Their secondary structure includes four short double-helical elements and three loops (D, anti-codon, and T loops). Further hydrogen bonds mediate the characteristic L-shaped molecular structure. tRNAs have two regions of fundamental functional importance: the anti-codon, which is responsible for specific mRNA codon recognition, and the 3' end, to which the tRNAs corresponding amino acid is attached (by aminoacyl-tRNA synthetases). tRNAs cope with the degeneracy of the genetic code in two manners: having more than one tRNA (with a specific anti-codon) for a particular amino acid; and 'wobble' base-pairing, i.e. permitting non-standard base-pairing at the 3rd anti-codon position.
GGCCACGUGGCCCAAUGGUAAGGCGCUUGACUACGGAUCAAGAGAUUGCAGGUUCGAUCCCUGCCGUGGUCA